Molecule: ribosomal RNA, 497 nt
Filed under: uncultured bacterium
Lineage: Bacteria
Description: partial 16S ribosomal RNA
Rfam family: Bacterial small subunit ribosomal RNA
Source: RNAcentral
GAUGAACGCUGGCGGCGUGCCUAAUACAUGCAAGUCGAGCGAACAGAUGAGGAGCUUGCUCCUCUGACGUUAGCGGCGGACGGGUGAGUAACACGUGGAUAACCUACCUAUAAGACUGGGAUAACUUCGGGAAACCGGAGCUAAUACCGGAUAAUAUAUUGAACCGCAUGGUUCAAUAGUGAAAGACGGUUUUGCUGUCACUUAUAGAUGGAUCCGCGCCGCAUUAGCUAGUUGGUAAGGUAACGGCUUACCAAGGCAACGAUGCGUAGCCGACCUGAGAGAGUGAUCGGCCACACGGGAACUGAGACACGGUCCAGACUCCUACGGGAGGCAGCAGUAGGGAAUCUUCCGCAAUGGGCGAAAGCCUGACGGAGCAACGCCGCGUGAGUGAUGAAGGUCUUCGGAUCGUAAAACUCUGUUAUUAGGGAAGAACAAAUGUGUAAGUAACUAUGCACGUCUUGACGGUACCUAAUCAGAAAGCCACGGCUAACUACGUG